Molecule: transfer RNA, 73 nt
Filed under: Candidatus Riesia sp.
Lineage: Bacteria; Pseudomonadati; Pseudomonadota; Gammaproteobacteria; Enterobacterales; Enterobacteriaceae
Description: tRNA-Arg
Rfam family: tRNA
About the family: Transfer RNA (tRNA) molecules are approximately 80 nucleotides in length. Their secondary structure includes four short double-helical elements and three loops (D, anti-codon, and T loops). Further hydrogen bonds mediate the characteristic L-shaped molecular structure. tRNAs have two regions of fundamental functional importance: the anti-codon, which is responsible for specific mRNA codon recognition, and the 3' end, to which the tRNAs corresponding amino acid is attached (by aminoacyl-tRNA synthetases). tRNAs cope with the degeneracy of the genetic code in two manners: having more than one tRNA (with a specific anti-codon) for a particular amino acid; and 'wobble' base-pairing, i.e. permitting non-standard base-pairing at the 3rd anti-codon position.
Source: RNAcentral
UAUCCUGUAGUUCAAUUGGUAGAACGUUACAUUGCGAAUGUUAAAAUAUAGGUUCAAUUCCUAUCAGGGAUAA